RNAcentral lists this ribosomal RNA (329 nucleotides) under uncultured bacterium. RNAcentral's name for it is "bacterial SSU rRNA". It matches the Rfam family "Bacterial small subunit ribosomal RNA", at positions 568 to 898 of the family's 1533-position model. The record is from RNAcentral.
UCCGUAGGCGGUGUGGCAAGUCGGUAGUGAAAUCUCUCGGCCUAACUGAGAGGCUGCUGCCGAAACUGCCAUGCUCGAGUGCGAGAGAGGCGAGUGGAAUUGCGGGUGUAGCGGUGAAAUGCGUAGAUAUCCGCAGGAACAUCCGAGGCGAAAGCGGCUCGCUGGAUCGCAACUGGCGCUGAGGGACGAAAGCUAGGGGAGCAAACAGGAUUAGAUACCCUGGUAGUCCUAGCCCUAAACCAUCAGGACUUGGGGUUUGCCCUGUACGGGGCAAGUCCCGGAGCUAACGCGUUAAGUCCUGCGCCUGGGAGUACGGUCGCAAGGCUGAA